ACUUCAAGAGUCAACAAUGUGAACACACAGCAACACUGCCCUAAACCCUAAACCUUAAAGGGUUCAGCAGCAUGUAUAAAUACCAUGGAAGCAUGCGCUCAUGAUCACAAGCUGGGAGGUUCACCUGCGACAUCAUUGUGUGUGAAUGGACUUGAGAAGACUGAGUUUCACAUUUGCCAUACUAGGAGUUGAAAUGGCAAAGGCAGAGACUGAAAAGCGUGAAAGACAAAAGGCAAAGCUGAAGAAGAUACGCCACAACUGUGAACUGCUGCAGAUGUGGGAGAGAGACAGAAGCUGUGAGGAGCUGUGAGAAGAGAGCAUGGAGGACAAAUGAAGUCUGUUGUUGUUAAUGUGAGAACACAUGAAAAUUGGGUUGGAAAACUGUGGCCGGCUGUCUUGUGGAGGUUGAUAAAGAGUCCGUAGGAUUGCAACAAAGAGAUACAGGUGCAGCAGCCAGAGUAUUGCCGGAAGAAAUCAUCCCAAGGGUGGAAUCUCCAGACUGACACUGGGUGCUGAUCAGAAGUCUUCAGAAACCCAGCGAGAAGCUGGGACCAUUCACAGCAAAGCUGACAGCCCAGGCAGUGGUUGAGGUCAAAGAUUGUGCGGUUUGGGGCCCUACUAGUCAUCAUGAGAAGAUUCCAGAAUCACAGCAAUAACCAUAAAGCUGCGUUGGAAUGAGAGGGUGAGGGGUGAAAAGAGCACCCUCCUCCAAUAAGGGUGUGCCAAGCUCCAACUCAACGACUGCAGACUGAGACUCUGAGCCACCCAAGAGGGAUCAGCGAAUGAAUGCAGAUAACACCUGCUUAAACUGCCAAUCAAUUUCCCUGGAAAGCUUAGUAUGUUUUUAAGUUAAGGAGGUCGUUGGUGUGACAUUAAUAAUCAUAUAAAUGAUAUGCAUUUACAUGACUCUCCGAACAUCACAAACUCUGUUAGAGUCCUGAGCCUGAGUAGAAGUGAUUGGAGUAAUUAUAGCAUGCAAGAUUUACAGCAACUUGUGCGCAUUUUGUAGGGUAGGUAGACUGAUUAUCUAGCAUGUCAGUUCCUGAUGCAUAAGUGCAUAAGGCCCUCAUUGUCUGAGUAAACAUAAUAACAACAGUUGUGAGUUCUUUUGACAUGUGUACUCAAUUUUGACACCGUAAAGGUAGGAUUUGGGGUUCAUCACAUUUCAUUGAGGGAUUUUGAUCGGCCUCAAACAUGCUGGAAGCACCUAAAGCAGGAGGUUGUUCUUCCAGAGUUAAAUGUGGUUGUUUUGGUUUCCCCAAUCACUGAUGUGGGGACAGUAAAGAUGAUUGUAAAUGCCCUUGAGAGGGUUUACACCUUUUAAACAGGCCGAUGGCCCCACAAUAGUAAAGAGUACAGUACAAUGCAUAGAAAGAGAGACUGUUGUAAAA
Long non-coding RNA from Oreochromis niloticus (Nile tilapia), 1391 nucleotides. RefSeq lists it as uncharacterized. The record is from RefSeq and is a predicted model, not a curated record. The transcript is spliced from 2 exons. Lineage: Eukaryota; Metazoa; Chordata; Actinopteri; Cichliformes; Cichlidae.